CUCAAUAACCAUAAACACACCUUCCCAUAUCUCUUUGAUCCAUUUUACGAAGUGCAUCGUUACAAAAGAGAGAAAUACCUCUUCAUUUCAAUACCACGAAGCAUCUGCCUCUCCAACCUUCAAUUUUUACUAACAACAAAUUUGCAGAAGAAAAUAAAUGCAGCAUCCAUCACCAAUGGGUACAACAAAACCAUGGAGAAAAACAACAACAGAAGCAACGAGAACACAAAAAAUAGAAGGGAAAAAGCAGUGCUGUCGGAAAUCAGAUCUGACACGUCCACUCAUGUGAACAUCGCUCCGCCUUCGCAAACCCGUUGGCAACUAUAACGCGACAACCACCGUAGACGCACAAAGCUUCAUCCGACAUUCUUCCUUUGUUAAUAAACUGUGAGUUCAUUGAUUUAAAAAUGGAGUCACUUUCUACUGGUAAUACUAUGAUGGUAGCCAGGGACUCAUCAAACUAGGUUUUGCUGCAAUUAGAUAUGUUUCACAAUGGACUUUCUAGGAUGUUCGAGUGCAACACUGUAAAGGGUUAUGUUUGGGUUACUCUCAAACUAUGUGUGUGUGCUGAUGAUCAUCCUUGAAAUCUAAAUUUGGUUGGAUAAACCAACUCUUGGCAUUGCUCUCAUGAAUUUGAGGUAUAAAGAUGAAUGUGCAGUUGAAUCAAGGGGUAAAGUCAACGAUCCUGAUUUUGAUACUGAGAGUUAGCCAAGUUGAUGUUGGAAGAUCUUCUCCGAGUUGUUUGAAUCUUGAAGAAUUGGCUCAUAUGCCUCAUACUACCGAUAUGUAUGUUCUUGG
Molecule: long non-coding RNA, 798 nt
Organism: Vicia villosa (hairy vetch)
Lineage: Eukaryota; Viridiplantae; Streptophyta; Magnoliopsida; Fabales; Fabaceae
Exons: 4
Source: RefSeq, a predicted model, not a curated record